RNAcentral lists this ribosomal RNA (216 nucleotides) under uncultured Actinomycetales bacterium. RNAcentral describes it as "partial 16S ribosomal RNA". It matches the Rfam family "Bacterial small subunit ribosomal RNA", at positions 117 to 334 of the family's 1533-position model. Lineage: Bacteria; Bacillati; Actinomycetota; Actinomycetes; Actinomycetales. The record is from RNAcentral.
GUGAGUAACCUGCCCUUGACUUUGGGAUAACUUCAGGAAACUGGGGCUAAUACCGGAUAGGAGCUCCUGCUGCAUGGUGGGGGUUGGAAAGUUUCGGCGGUUGGGGAUGGACUCGCGGCUUAUCAGCUUGUUGGUGGGGUAGUGGCUUACCAAGGCUUUGACGGGUAGCCGGCCUGAGAGGGUGACCGGCCACAUUGGGACUGAGAUACGGCCCAG